Molecule: long non-coding RNA, 1738 nt
Organism: Pogona vitticeps (central bearded dragon)
Lineage: Eukaryota; Metazoa; Chordata; Lepidosauria; Squamata; Agamidae
Source: Ensembl
GGCAGCUGCUUUGGAGAAUUGUAGAAGUGGAAACAGAAACAGAAAAGACUCAAUGGCAGCCCAAUCACAGUGGGUAGUGGGUACCCCUUCCCCUCCCUGUCCUGCUAUCACCCUAGUAUCCAAGGCCAAAGGCAUUGUGACCCUUCAGGCAGAAAAUCCCACAAACCUCUCUUGCUCUUUUCCUGGCAGUAAAACACAAUCAUAAUGAAUCAGUAAGGAUUAAAUUAGUCACUUCUAUAUCAUACCCCUGAAUUGAUGGAGCUCCUUUGCUGUGGCUAACGGUAGGCCCCAGCCCACCAAACCUAUACCUGCUGCACCUCAUCAGACCAUCUUGCCGGAGAAUUACAUGCUGAGGUAGGGAAAGUGGAAAAAGAUUUGGUGGGACUAAAAUGUCUGUUGUAAUGCUUUCUUUCUUUUCUAAUCUUAAUGUUCUUCUUUGUCAUACGUUUGUUUGAAAAUUAAUGUGGAAAUCAGCUCAGUGCUGGUUUUAUUGAACUUGACUUUUGUUUUGAGUCAUCAGAAGCCUUUUUGACAAUAUAAAGAAUGUUCUGUAGAGAGCAUGUAUUUCUGAACCAGCAGAAACUGUGGAGAUACCUCUUCCCAAAAAAAUCAAAACAAAACAAACCCACAAACAAAAAACCAAGAACAACAGGAGACUUAAAAGAGAUCAGCAGUAGCUUGAUAGAAAAGUGGGAGGCAGAAUAUAAUUUCCUCAGCAGUGAUGGGAACUAUAAAUGAAAUCAAAUGGUUUCUUCUUGUGCUGGCGGAAGAAAAUUACUGUGGUGUUGAUGGGUCUUCAGGACAAGAAGAAGAGAACAGGAAAGGGGGAUCCCAAGGGAAUUUUGUGAAAAUCCCUCCCUGCCAUGUUUUUUAAACUUUUAACCUUUUAAAAACCUUUUUAACCUUUUAAAGACAAACAAGAAAAAGAAACUAUCCUGUACAGUUAAUUGGUUGUGCCUAAUGUGUGUAAAUACAAUUCUUUCAUUUCCUGUCCUUUGUGAUUAGUGAGCAUCUUGUGGUUAUGAAGAUGCACGUAACCAUGAACUAACAGGGGUAUGAAAUAAGAUUUUUUAAAAAGAGAGCAAAGAAUGAAAUAUAGAUGUUUGUUAUUGUUGGAGGUGGUCCCCCUCCCUCAACCUUUAUUGAAAUGUUCCUUAUUUUCCCUUAGAAUCUUUGAUUUUUUUUUCGUGCAAAGGAUGUGGUGGAGGCUCAAGGGAAUUAGCUAUCAAGGCCACUAAGUCCUAAAACAUUACCAAAGUAAAGAAAAACUUAAUUUAAUGAUUCUCAUCACAAAGAGUCCAACCAAAGGCAGAUGGCUUGGUAACAGACACGCAUGGAAAGUCAAAGUUAGGGUGGUAUAUUGGUGGAAAUGUUUGGCUCGGACCAGGGAAAUUUAGGUAGAGAUCCCUGUCCAGCUAUGAAACUCAUUGUAUGGUGAACAUGAGAAGGGCCCUCUUGGAUCAGAUCAAAGGCCAAAGAAAUCCAGCACUCUCUAGACCUUCAGUGGCCAGCCAAUACCUAUGCAAAGCCCAGAGAUGGGAUAUGUCAGGUGAAAUGGCCUUGUGCCUGCUGUUAUUUCUUGGCUUAGUCUACUUCACAGGGUUGUUGUGAGGGUUAAAGCAAGGGAGACAGUAAAAAAGAAACAUUUGGUGGUCCUAUAACUUUUGAAUGCUCCUCUCUUUUUAUUUAUUUAAAAAUAUUUUUAUCCUGCCUUUCUCCUUGAAAUGGACCCAAGGUG